Molecule: ribosomal RNA, 238 nt
Filed under: uncultured bacterium
Lineage: Bacteria
Description: partial 16S ribosomal RNA
Rfam family: Bacterial small subunit ribosomal RNA
Source: RNAcentral
CGGCGGACGGGUGAGUAACGCGUGGGUAACCUGCCUCAUACAGGGGGAUAACAGUUAGAAAUGGCUGCUAAUACCGCAUAAGACCACGGUACUGCAUGGUACAGUGGUAAAAACUCCGGUGGUAUGAGAUGGCCCCGCGUCUGAUUAGGUAGUUGGUGAGGUAACGGCCCACCAAGCCGACGAUCAGUAGCCGACCUGAGAGGGUGACCGGCCACAUUGGGACUGAGACACAGCCCAG